RNAcentral lists this ribosomal RNA (253 nucleotides) under uncultured bacterium. Its description in RNAcentral is "partial 16S ribosomal RNA". It matches the Rfam family "Bacterial small subunit ribosomal RNA", at positions 524 to 776 of the family's 1533-position model. The record is from RNAcentral.
UACGAAGGUCCCAAGCGUUGUUCGGAAUCACUGGGCGUAAAGGGUGCGUAGGCGGCGCGGAAAGUCAGAUGUGAAAGCCCGGGGCUCAACCCCGGAACUGCAUCCGAUACUCCCGCGCUUGAGGGCCGGAGAGGAGUCUGGAAUUCACGGUGUAGCAGUGAAAUGCGUAGAUAUCGUGAGGAACACUAAUUGCGAAGGCAAGACUCUGGACGGUUCCUGACGCUGAGGCACGAAGGCCGGGGGAGCGAACAGG